RNAcentral lists this long non-coding RNA (1414 nucleotides) under Mus caroli (Ryukyu mouse). RNAcentral's name for it is "predicted gene 9831 (MGP_CAROLIEiJ_G0003365.1)". The record is from RNAcentral. Lineage: Eukaryota; Metazoa; Chordata; Mammalia; Rodentia; Muridae.
UUUCAGGACAUAGUGGAUGUUCAAGAAAGGACAAGAGCAACCUUCAUAAGAAUAACAACAUGUUCUUGCUGUGGACUUCUUUCUACUGUGAUUGCUGAAAUCAAGGUGUUAGAUGUAAGCCUCCUUCCUGUUCUGGAAAGUGACUAAUUCUGUGAAGAAUGCCCAGGAAGGAAGAAAAGAUUCUUUGGGGAUAUUACAACAAAUCCAUGGUAUUUCGAUGCUAACACCCUUGAGACAACCGAGAGACAAAGGCAGAACAAAUGCAUGGCCUAGCAUGACCUGUUCCAGCAAAGGAGAGGGAACUGUGGAGGAAGUCUGAGAGAACUAACUGGGUGUCAAGUGUUAAACAAAUAAUAGUAUUGGGACACACAUUUGGCUAAGCUGGAAGUUUUCACCAAAGAAGAUCAAUUUAGAAGCUAUCAGUGAUAUCUUCUACCUAUCCUUUCCAGGCAGUCUCUACAGGAAUUCCCAGGCAUAAUGUGAAUGCCCAAAGUCCACAAAGGAACAGAAUUAAGACCAAGAUUGACAAGAUGUUCUCUGGUAUAAAUACAGUUGAAGCAUUGGGUGGAAGUUCAAAUCUGCACUGAAGCAAGUAGAAUUCGGAUACGUCACAUUAGACAACUCCAGAGAACUCAGCUCCCCCACAGGCCUGAAUUAUUUGUAUACAGAUAAAAGAAAAUGUAAUCUGUCUUCCCUGCAUCAGAAAAAUCUACCUGCCUGUGGGUGGCUGCAGCCUCAAGGCUGAGAGCAUCUCCUUACCACAGCAGCAGCAGUUAAGCAGCAGCAGUAGACUGGCCAGCUGUGCGGCUUCCCAGGAUGGGCAAGCAAGAAAUCAUCCUGGUAACGGAACUUCUCUGGUCCACAUGCAAUAAAAAUGUCAUCGUCACCAAAAAAGUCCUGAAGGCACAUCACCUACAAGAGAAAAGCAUAGUUCUCAGCCAGGGGUCCACACAACAGCGAUCACAACACCACCUCCCCCCCCUGCAUAGACUUCUCCAUAAAGCCAUUUUCCUCUAAUGGAAUCAACAGGGGGAUUUCAAAGGCUCGGCUGUGCAUCUGUUAUCAGUAAGGAACGAGUUAGUCUCAGGUCUGCAGGAAGGCAGAGAAGGCGACUGGGCGGGUAACUGUCACAUUUAUGACUGGAAACAUCAACAGGCUAUGAGGUAAGAGCUCUUUGUUUCCAUAACAUUGGGGAUUCAGCUACUCGGACCCCAGAGCCCCCCAGCUUCUGAGUGUAAGUCCCAAAAGCAAGGAGAGCCAGUGCACGGGUUUAACUGCAGACGUGCUGCUGUUGGUAAGUAACAGCACUAUGUGUUCACAACAACCACUGAGAAAAGCGGUAUAGUAUUACAACUUGUAGGCCCAGUCCAUCUCUCGUUGAAAUAAACUGAAACCCUUAGAAGAGGAAGAGCUG